This 686-nucleotide ribosomal RNA is filed under the name uncultured archaeon. RNAcentral's name for it is "bacterial SSU rRNA". It matches the Rfam family "Archaeal small subunit ribosomal RNA", at positions 230 to 920 of the family's 1478-position model. The record is from RNAcentral.
UUGUGGGUGAGGUAAGGCCCAACCAAGCAUAUAACAGGUACGGGCUCUGAGAGGAGGGGCCCGGAGAUGGGUACUGAGACACGGACCCAGGCCCUAUGGGGCGCAGCAGGCGAGAAACCUUUGCAAUGUGCGAAAGCACGACAAGGUUAAUCCGAGUGUCUCCUGCUAAAGGAGUCUUUUGUCAGUUGUAGAAUCACUGGUGAAUAAGGGGUGGGCAAGUUCUGGUGUCAGCCGCCGCGGUAAAACCAGCACCUCGAGUGGUCAGGAGGUUUAUUGGGCCUAAAGCAUCCGUAGCCGGUUGCAUAAGUUUUCGGUUAAAUCUAUGCGCUUAACGUAUAGGCCGCCGAAAAUACUGUGCAGCUAGGGAGUGGGAGAGGUACACGGUACUCGAUAGGAAGGGGUAAAAUCCUUUGAUCUAUUGAAGACCACCUGUGGCGAAGGCGGUGUACCAGAACACGUUCGACGGUGAGGGAUGAAAGCUGGGGGAGCAAACCGGAUUAGAUACCCGGGUAGUCCCAGCUGUAAACGAUGCAGACUCGGUGAUGCAUUGGCUUGUGGCCAAUGCAGUGCCGCAGGGAAGCCGUUAAGUCUGCCGCCUGGGAAGUACGUACGCAAGUAUGAACUUAAAGGAUUGGCGGGGGAGCACCACAAGGGAUGAAGCCUGCGGUCAAUUGGAGUCAACGCCA